Long non-coding RNA from Acanthopagrus latus (yellowfin seabream), 2192 nucleotides. RefSeq lists it as uncharacterized. The record is from RefSeq and is a predicted model, not a curated record. Lineage: Eukaryota; Metazoa; Chordata; Actinopteri; Spariformes; Sparidae. The transcript is spliced from 2 exons.
GUCACUUUACGUCUCGUUGAAAGAAGCGCCUUACGAAAAGACAAAUGCGGGAUGCAGAAUAAUGGUGUUUGAAAACAGGAAUCGAUAGAGAGGACCUGCUUUAAAUACAUCAUUGUGGAGUGAGUUUUCAAGUGGUUUCCUGCAGCAAGGGAUUGGCCCGAACCUGAGAGACCGAACACAGACACAUCUAACAGUACAAAUGCUGCAAGACGUGGAAGUAUCGGGGUCUAUCGUGGACUGACAGCAGUGGUGGUAGUUGUGUUGGUUGUUUUUUUUGUUUUUUGUUUUUUGUUUUUUUUUACAUUUUAUUUAUUCACUGUCUUUCUGAUAAACAACAUUUAUGCUCAGACUCCAGUGGAGGAUCUGGUGAAAUAAACAUCUCUGCUGGCUCAGAGGAAACAGUUUGAUCAACAAAAUUUAAGGAAACAGGUCUAUACGAUGGACAGAUCUGAACAGAGCAGCAGGCUGUGAGACAAUCAGGGAACCGAGGAGGAGGAGAAGGGGAUCAAGCUCUGUUUUAAUCCUGCACUUGGCUAAUAGUCCAUGAAGCAAAAGGACAAACAGGGCUCGGGCCGGUUAAACAACAUUAUAUCAUGCACUUUUGUGUUUCCACAGAGACCUGUGUCCACCACAACAUCCUGGAUCAAGUUGUUGCACUCGACAGGUGGACACAAAAAUGGAGAGUUGUGUUGGCUGUUUAUUACCUUUUUCUUUAUUCACUUGCAGUCUGAUGAGUUCAGUGGAGGAAUUAGAAAACAUUGAGCAACAAUAAUGGAGUUGAUGGCAACCAAAAUAACUUUUUGUUUCAGUUUGUUAUAUUUGGUGGAUCUAGAGGAACUGGAGUGGAGGAACAAAGAUAAAUAUUUGCUGAGAAUAUUACUGGUGGCUUGUAAGAAAUUAGUAACGAAGAAAUGGCUGAAGAGGGUGACACCUAGUGUAGGUGAAUGGAUUGAUACUGUGUACAGAAUCUUUGUAAUGGAAAGAAUUCAUCUAAGGACACAAAAAGAGGUAUUUAUUAAAAAUUGGCAAAAAUGGAUUACAUAUGUCUCUACCAUUAGACCGGACUUCAGGUAGUCUCAGACUGGACUAUCACAAUACUUCUAUGUAUUUACUUUUCUCUUUACCUUUUUUUUCCCCACUUUCACGACUGGACGUGUUUACCAGUCCCCUUUUUUUUGCACUCGUCUAUAGGUCUUCAUGUUGAUUGUUUGUUCGUUAAUAUGCAUAAUCACAAACCAAUAAAAAGUAAAUGACAAAAAAAAAGUAAUGGAGUUGAUGGAGAAAGCGUUGUUCUUCACCGUCAUGUUGUCCAUUACUUUGACAGACGUCUCAUCAAACUCUGUAACUUAUUAGACGGAUCUGAGAUCUGCUCUGUGUUCACUUUACUGAAUAAUGCUGAGAAACAUGUUGUCGUCGUACACCAUGUGUAACGACUGUGUGCAAUGAUGAAUUGGGCCUGAAUGAGAUAUGACAUUAACACUGACAGUAUAUCCUGUACUGACCUCCUGCUGGAUGUAAAGAGAAAUCAGAUGAACUUUAGAUCAGAGAACAUUCAGCAGCUCAAAACAGAAAUUACACCAUAAAACAUUAAAUUAACUGAAGAACUGUGAAGCACUAAAAACAGAUAUUUGGCUUUAAUGUUGUAAUGCAUGAUCCCUCUAUAUGCACUUUGUGGUAAAUGUGUUUUGUUAUGUUCACUUUGUGUCGUUUGUGUUGUUUUUGUUCUUUAUCAAGGUUCUUUUUAUCUUUCAGUUUUGACCCUCUGUCCAGAUUUCAUGAACAGGUUUAACUUUCUCUCCUGGAGUUUUAACCUCUUCAUGUUGUAAUGUGCAGUUGGAACUGAAAUUAAGUGCUGCUGUUUGAUUUGUGUUUGUUAUUUACUGUCUGUUACUGACUGUCAUUUUGUCUCUGAAUGUGUGCUUGAAAGAGAAGUUGUGAUUUGUUGACGCUGGUGUUAAAGAUAAAGUUCAGCAGAGGGAGCUCUUCACUUUAAAGUCAUAGUAUUAAGUGAAUUUUGUUUUCCACAAGUUCAAGUCUCAAACAGCUGUGUAGCUCUCAGGGGAGGCAGGUUUGUGUAGUUGGUAUGGAGCCGCCCACUGUGGCUGACUGGUAGCAGCUGGACUCCCAGUGCUUCCAGUAACAGAAUAAACAGGUCAAUGAUAUAAUAAAUAACAAUGUACUGGAAGAUAAAG